Molecule: ribosomal RNA, 253 nt
Filed under: uncultured bacterium
Lineage: Bacteria
Description: partial 16S ribosomal RNA
Rfam family: Bacterial small subunit ribosomal RNA
Source: RNAcentral
UACGGGGGGGGCAAGCGUUGUUCGGAAUUACUGGGCGUAAAGGGCUCGUAGGCGGCCAACUAAGUCGGAUGUGAAAUCCCCAGGCUUAACUUGGGAACUGCAUCCGAUACUGGAUGGCUUGAAUCCGGGAGAGGGAUGCGGAAUUCCAGGUGUAGCGGUGAAAUGCGUAGAUAUCGGGAGGAACACCAGUGGCGAAGGCGGCGUCCUGGACCGGUGCUGACGCUGAGGAGCGAAAGCGUGGGGAGCGAUCCGG